Calidris pugnax (ruff) is the source of this 1683-nucleotide long non-coding RNA. RefSeq lists it as uncharacterized. The transcript is spliced from 3 exons. The record is from RefSeq and is a predicted model, not a curated record. Lineage: Eukaryota; Metazoa; Chordata; Aves; Charadriiformes; Scolopacidae.
GGUGCUUGACUCUGCACCAGCUGAUGUAGCGCUGGCAGCUGCUGCUGCUCCAGCUGAGAUCCUCAAAACCACUCGCUGUGCUUUCCUCCUCAGGGCACUGUGAGGCGGGGAACUCAAGAUGAAGCACAUUCUUCAAAAAGAUCUAUACUCUGGCCCCAUCAAUAUCCACUUUCAUACUGAUGCUUUUAAGAAACUGCCAGUCAGGAAUAACAAGAUUCUCUGAUCCAGGCUCAGCUUUGAGGAAAGGGAGGAAAAAGAAGCAGCACUGGUCACACCUGAAGGUAUCUUCACACAACUGAAUUAUGCAUACUUUUCUCAUUAUUUUUAAGCAAUGAAUUUGAGUUCUUUGUUUAUCAUCUCCCUCUUAGCUUGAAUUUGGUGCCUCGUAUGGUUCUGCCCAACAUCUAUAUUUCCUUGUAGUCUGAGGCAUUUCCCUCUUUGUGGCAAUUAAUAAACAUUACACCAUGCUCCCACCCCUCUCUCUUCCAAAAUCUUGGAGACACAUAUUUUUUUCCUGAGAUAAUCCAGCAUAAUCCCAGGCAGAAUAUCCUACUGAAAAACAGUGAUUUCAGCCCUUGCAUAUUGGAGGUCUGUGGCUAUAAGGUCUGGUGGGACACAGGCAACUUGAAUACACUCACCUCUCAGAACUGGCAGAGUUCACAUUAACCUAUCCCUAAACCUGUUUACAAACCUACAAAGCCAAGAGUACACCUGAAAUAACCUCUUUCUUUUUACUCCCUAAAGUGCCUGGGAGGUCCAGGCUUGUGGUAUGACUACAGUAUGCUUCUACAUACGUUCCAGUAGAUAUCUGGGUUUUGCCUACAUAACCCAAUAAAACUGUUGAGGGGAACAGUGACUCCUACCAUUAUUUCAAGAUGAGACUCAUGGGAAAUGUUUGCUAUUAGACUCUAAUUCUACCUUAAGCUAGUUAAAAAGGUAGGCCUUCUCAUGACCUCUGCCUCACUCAGUACCAUGACCCAGGUCUCUUCCCACUAAGUGGCAGAAAUUAGGUGUUCAGAAGGUGAAAAGCAGGCUCCUGCGUCAUCUUUAGCAGGUUUCUGGUGCUCUGCCAUUCACUUCAAUGCAUCCUGCGUAUUCCCUGCCAGGGCAGAAGAAGUGUGGUCCUAUACAUACGCAUGUGGCACUCCCAGCCAGCUCUGAACAGAAUAUACACAUUCGUUCUCCAUAUGUCUCCUUGUGGUAUUUGUUUUCACUGUGAAAGCAAGUAAUAACGAACUGUAAACCAAAGUGUCGACCAAAACAUGGAGGUUCCUGCCAUUCCUCUAAAAACCCCAUAUUGUUCCAACACUUUUUUAAGCUGAAAAGAGACACUCUGUACUAUACCCUAGAGAUGGUAGGACACAAAAACUGAGUAAGAAAAACUAACAAGAUUUCCCUGGAGUACUCAAGCAUAUUCCCUCUGAAACAGGAGAAAAAUACAGUUGCAAUGAGUUUCUAGCAGUAGAUGGGGCCAGAAUGAGACAAUAUACCUCUAAUUGGCUUCAGCUUUCAACUGAAAAAACUAAUCCAUGAGAAACUAUAUCUCUCCAAGUCUAUAACCACUAUUUUCACUUAAACAAGCUUUUUAAUAAGCUGAGUUAGCAUUUGAGAUUCAUGUAUGCUGAAUGGCAGGAACAUUUUCUUAUGAUCAGAGCUAGACACAGCUGCAAUGAGGCCAGGGAU